This 253-nucleotide ribosomal RNA is filed under the name uncultured bacterium. RNAcentral's name for it is "partial 16S ribosomal RNA". It matches the Rfam family "Bacterial small subunit ribosomal RNA", at positions 524 to 776 of the family's 1533-position model. The record is from RNAcentral.
UACAGAGGUCCCGAGCGUUGUUCGGAUUCACUGGGCGUAAAGGGCGCGUAGGCGGGGAGGUAAGUCGGGUGUGAAAUCCCUCGGCCCAACCGAGGAACUGCGCCCGAGACUGCUUCUCUUGAGUCCCGGAGAGGAAGAUGGAAUUCCCGGUGUAGCGGUGAAAUGUGUAGAGAUCGGGAGGAACACCGGUGGCGAAGGCGGUCUUCUGGACGGUGACUGACGCUGAGGCGCGAAAGCGUGGGGAGCAAACGGG